AAGGCUCCUUUAUUCAGGCCGAUCAAAGAUCGUUUUUAAUUUAAAGCCAAUCUAAGGCUCCUUCAUUCGAUUGAUCAAAGGUCAUUUUUUAUUUAAAGCUGAUCAAAGACUCCUUCACUCGAGCUGAUCAAAGAUCAUUUUUAAUUUAAAACCUUUCAAAGGCUCCUUCAUUCAGACCGAUCAAAAGUCAUUUUUAAUUUAAAGCCGAUCAAAGGCU
This 217-nucleotide long non-coding RNA is filed under the name Elaeis guineensis (African oil palm). RNAcentral describes it as "long non-coding RNA (EGUI_LNC054691)". Lineage: Eukaryota; Viridiplantae; Streptophyta; Magnoliopsida; Arecales; Arecaceae. The record is from RNAcentral.